GGUAUGGGAUGAGCUUGCGUCCGAUUAGCUAGUUGGCGGGGCAACGGCCCACCAAGGCGACGAUCGGUAGCCGGCCUGAGAGGGUGAUCGGCCACAUUGGGACUGAGAUACGGCCCAGACUCCUACGGGAGGCAGCAGUAGGGAAUAUUGCACAAUGGGGGGAACCCUGAUGCAGCAACACCACGUGUGGGAAGAAGCAUUUCGGUGUGUAAACCACUGUCGUGAGGGAAUAAGGCCUGUUCUAGGACAGGAUUGAAUGUACCUCGAAAGGAAGCGCCGGCAAACUUCGUGCCAGCAGCCGCGGUAAUACGAGGGGUGCAAGCGUUGUUCGGAAUCACUGGGCGUAAAGGGAGCGUAGGCGGAGAUUCAAGCGGAUUGUACAAUCCCGGGGCCCAACCCCGGACCUGCAGUCCGAACUGGAUCUCUUGGAUAGUUCAGGGGCAGGC
Molecule: ribosomal RNA, 446 nt
Filed under: uncultured bacterium
Lineage: Bacteria
Description: bacterial SSU rRNA
Rfam family: Bacterial small subunit ribosomal RNA
Source: RNAcentral